GUAGGUGGCAAGCGUUGUCCGGAAUUAUUGGGCGUAAAGCGCGCGCAGGUGGUUCUUUAAGUCUGAUGUGAAAGCCCCCGGGCUCAACCGGGGAGGGUCAUUGGAAACUGGGGAACUUGAGUGCAGGAGAGGAAAGUGGAAUUCCACGUGUAGCGGUGAAAUGCGUAGAUAUGUGGAGGAACGCCAGUGGCGAAGGCGACUUUCUGGCCUGUAACUGACACUGAGGCGCGAAAGCGUGGGGAGCAAACAGGAUUAGAUACCCUGGUAGUCCACGCCGUAAACGAUGAGUGCUAAGUGUUGGGGGGUUUCCGCCCCUCAGUGCUGCAGCUAACGCAUUAAGCACUCCGCCUGGGGAGUACGGUCGCAAAGACUG
This 373-nucleotide ribosomal RNA is filed under the name uncultured organism. RNAcentral's name for it is "partial 16S ribosomal RNA". It matches the Rfam family "Bacterial small subunit ribosomal RNA", at positions 527 to 896 of the family's 1533-position model. The record is from RNAcentral.